RNAcentral lists this ribosomal RNA (337 nucleotides) under uncultured fungus. Its description in RNAcentral is "SSU rRNA". It matches the Rfam family "Eukaryotic small subunit ribosomal RNA", at positions 20 to 371 of the family's 1831-position model. The record is from RNAcentral. Lineage: Eukaryota; Fungi.
GUAGUCAUAUGCUUGUCUCAAAGAUUAAGCCAUGCAUGUCUAAGUAUAAGCAACUUUGUACUGUGAAACUGCGAAUGGCUCAUUAAAUCAGUUAUAGUUUAUUUGAUGGUUUUUGCUACAUGGAUAACUGUGGUAAUUCUAGAGCUAAUACAUGCAUUCAAGCCCCGACUUCUGGAAGGGGUGUAUUUAUUAGAUAAAAAUCAACUUUGUUGGUGAAUCAUAAUAACUUCUCGGACCGCAUGGCCUCGUGCGGCGGUGCUUCAUUCAAAUAUCUGCCCUAUCAACUGUCGAUGGUAGGAUAGAGGCCUACCAUGGUUGCAACGGGUAACGGGGAAUG